RNAcentral lists this ribosomal RNA (1372 nucleotides) under uncultured bacterium. RNAcentral describes it as "bacterial SSU rRNA". It matches the Rfam family "Bacterial small subunit ribosomal RNA", at positions 28 to 1381 of the family's 1533-position model. The record is from RNAcentral.
GAUGAACGCUGGCGGCGUGCCUAAUACAUGCAAGUCGAGCGAACGGACGAGAAGCUUGCUUCUCUGAUGUUAGCGGCGGACGGGUGAGUAACACGUGGAUAACCUACCUAUAAGACUGGGAUAACUUCGGGAAACCGGAGCUAAUACCGGAUAAUAUUUUGAACCGCAUGGUUCAAAAGUGAAAGACGGUCUUGCUGUCACUUAUAGAUGGAUCCGCGCUGCAUUAGCUAGUUGGUAAGGUAACGGCUUACCAAGGCAACGAUGCAUAGCCGACCUGAGAGGGUGAUCGGCCACACUGGAACUGAGACACGGCCCAGACUCCUACGGGAGGCAGCAGUAGGGAAUCUUCCGCAAUGGGCGAAAGCCUGACGGAGCAACGCCGCGUGAGUGAUGAAGGUCUUCGGAUCGUAAAACUCUGUUAUUAGGGAAGAACAUAUGUGUAAGUAACUGUGCACAUCUUGACGGUACCUAAUCAGAAAGCCACGGCUAACUACGUGCCAGCAGCCGCGGUAAUACGUAGGUGGCAAGCGUUAUCCGGAAUUAUUGGGCGUAAAGCGCGCGUAGGCGGUUUUUUAAGUCUGAUGUGAAAGCCCACGGCUCAACCGUGGAGGGUCAUUGGAAACUGGAAAACUUGAGUGCAGAAGAGGAAAGUGGAAUUCCAUGUGUAGCGGUGAAAUGCGCAGAGAUAUGGAGGAACACCAGUGGCGAAGGCGACUUUCUGGUCUGUAACUGACGCUGAUGUGCGAAAGCGUGGGGAUCAAACAGGAUUAGAUACCCUGGUAGUCCACGCCGUAAACGAUGAGUGCUAAGUGUUAGGGGGUUUCCGCCCCUUAGUGCUGCAGCUAACGCAUUAAGCACUCCGCCUGGGGAGUACGACCGCAAGGUUGAAACUCAAAGGAAUUGACGGGGACCCGCACAAGCGGUGGAGCAUGUGGUUUAAUUCGAAGCAACGCGAAGAACCUUACCAAAUCUUGACAUCCUUUGACAACUCUAGAGAUAGAGCUUUCCCCUUCGGGGGACAAAGUGACAGGUGGUGCAUGGUUGUCGUCAGCUCGUGUCGUGAGAUGUUGGGUUAAGUCCCGCAACGAGCGCAACCCUUAAGCUUAGUUGCCAUCAUUAAGUUGGGCACUCUAAGUUGACUGCCGGUGACAAACCGGAGGAAGGUGGGGAUGACGUCAAAUCAUCAUGCCCCUUAUGAUUUGGGCUACACACGUGCUACAAUGGACAAUACAAAGGGCAGCGAAACCGCGAGGUCAAGCAAAUCCCAUAAAGUUGUUCUCAGUUCGGAUUGUAGUCUGCAACUCGACUACAUGAAGCUGGAAUCGCUAGUAAUCGUAGAUCAGCAUGCUACGGUGAAUACGUUCCCGGGUCU